CGUCAGCUCGUGUCGUGAGAUGUUGGGUUAAGUCCCGUAACGAGCGCAACCCUUGUCCAUAGUUGCCAGCGAGUAAUGUCGGGAACUCUAAGGGGACUGCCGGUGACAAACCGGAGGAAGGUGGGGAUGACGUCAAGUCAUCAUGGCCCUUAUGGCCAGGGCUACACACGUGCUACAAUGGCUAGUACAAAGGGUUGCCAACUCGCGAGAGUGCGCUAAUCCCAUAAAGCUAGUCGUAGUCCGGAUCGGAGUCUGCAACUCGACUCCGUGAAGUCGGAAUCGCUAGUAAUCGCGGAUCAGAAUGCCGCGGUGAAUACGUUCCCGGGCCUUGUACACACCGCCCGUCACACCAUGGGAGUGGGUUGCAAAAGAAGUAGGUAGUCUAACCUUCGGGAGGACGCUUACCACUUUGUGAUUCAUGACUGGGGUGAAGUCGUAACAAGGUAGCCGUAGGGGAACCUGCGGCUGGAUCACCUCCUUU
This 481-nucleotide ribosomal RNA is filed under the name Gammaproteobacteria bacterium. RNAcentral's name for it is "bacterial SSU rRNA". It matches the Rfam family "Bacterial small subunit ribosomal RNA", at positions 1053 to 1533 of the family's 1533-position model. The record is from RNAcentral. Lineage: Bacteria; Pseudomonadati; Pseudomonadota; Gammaproteobacteria.